GGAAUGAUGGGAAUUUAAACCUCUUCCAGAGUAUCAAUUGGAGGGCAAGUCUGGUGCCAGCAGCCGCGGUAAUUCCAGCUCCAAUAGCGUAUAUUAAAAUUGUUGCAGUUAAAAAGCUCGUAGUUGAAUUUCUGCUGCAUCGUCGCAUCUCUUGCUGAGUGCUUCGUUUCGGCUUAUUUCGGAUUGAUUUUUUCUUUCCGGAUGAUUACUUUGAGAAAAUUAGAGUGCUCAAAGCAGGCUUUUGCCUUGAAUAGUUUAGCAUGGAAUAAUAAAGUAGGACUUUGGUUCUAUUUUGUUGGUUUUAGGUACCAAAGUAAUGGUUAAUAGGAACAGUUGGGGGCAUUCGUAUUUAACUGUCAGAGGUGAAAUUCUUAGAUUUGUUAAAGACGAACUACUGCGAAAGCAUUUGCCAAGGAUGUUUUCAUUAAUCAAGAACGAAAGUUAGGGGAUCGAAGACGAUCMGAUACCGUCGUAGUCCUACC
This 482-nucleotide ribosomal RNA is filed under the name Theileria sinensis. Its description in RNAcentral is "SSU rRNA". It matches the Rfam family "Eukaryotic small subunit ribosomal RNA", at positions 513 to 1041 of the family's 1831-position model. The record is from RNAcentral. Lineage: Eukaryota; Apicomplexa; Aconoidasida; Piroplasmida; Theileriidae.